RNAcentral lists this long non-coding RNA (549 nucleotides) under Helianthus annuus (common sunflower). Its description in RNAcentral is "hypothetical non coding rna". Lineage: Eukaryota; Viridiplantae; Streptophyta; Magnoliopsida; Asterales; Asteraceae. The record is from RNAcentral.
UUUGUGUGGACUAGACCUGUGGAAACCCCUUUAAAACCUUAAACCGUAGGCCAUUUUUUUCUCACCAACUCAACAUUACAUACUUGCUCUAUCUAGGUGUUUUGUUUGACAAAGAAAAAUGUCUACCCGAAAGCUUGCUUGCACUUACGCUCCUAGUGGUGGUGGCGGUGGCGGCGGUGGCGGCGGUGGCGGCGGCGGCGGUGGGGGUGGGGGCGGCGGCUGCGGAGGCGGUGGAGGCGGCGGCGGCGGAUGCUGAAAUUUGAUGUGCAUGCUACCUUUUAAAUUUGUGUUGUUUAGACUUUAUGUGUUGAAGAUUGUGUGUUGUGUUUUAUCGUUUUCUGCUGAACCUUGAGAAAUAAUGGGUGUUUGUUUUAUAUGUGAUUGUGAUUGUGUGUUUAGUGCACUAUAAGCUAUAACAUUGUUGUGGUUGUCUUUGUUGGUUGAAAUUUGAUGCUAAGCCUUGAGAAAUUGUUGUGGUUGUCUUUGUUGGUUGAAAUAAUGGGUGUUUGUUUUUUAUGUGAUUGUGGUUGUGUGUUUAGUGCAAUAUAA